RNAcentral lists this ribosomal RNA (257 nucleotides) under uncultured bacterium. Its description in RNAcentral is "partial 16S ribosomal RNA". It matches the Rfam family "Bacterial small subunit ribosomal RNA", at positions 521 to 777 of the family's 1533-position model. The record is from RNAcentral.
UAAUACAGAGGUGGCAAGCGUUGUUCGGAAUUACUGGGCGUAAAGGGCGCGUAGGCGGCCUUCUAAGUCAGACGUGAAAUCCCCCGGCUUAACCUGGGAACUGCGUCUGAUACUGGGAGGCUUGAGUAUGGGAGAGGGAUGUAGAAUUCCAGGUGUAGCGGUGAAAUGCGUAGAUAUCUGGAGGAAUACCGGUGGCGAAGGCGGCAUCCUGGACCAUUACUGACGCUGAGGCGCGAAAGCUAGGGGAGCAAACGGGA